UAGGAAAGAGUUGGCACGCUUCUGCUGCUGCUGAUUCACAAAAUUUAGAUGAAGGUGAUCCCAGGUUCAACUUCAGUAUCCUCAGAUGUACGUUCUUUAGGUAAACCAUCUUCUGGCUCCACUUCACUUGAUCCAGGAUAACAAAUGUCGCGACAGAAAUCCAUUCUCUUUUCCAAGAGACGCUUAUCAAAAUCAUGUCCACAGCUCCAGACUGAGGUUGAUGUAUUGCAACAUAUUUUUCUGCGAACAAAAAUUACAUUCAGCACUAGAUACAUCAUUGACUGUGAACUGAA
Non-coding RNA from Jatropha curcas, 293 nucleotides. NCBI's taxonomy places the organism in Eukaryota, Viridiplantae, Streptophyta, Magnoliopsida, Malpighiales, Euphorbiaceae. The record is from RefSeq and is a predicted model, not a curated record.